This 791-nucleotide ribosomal RNA is filed under the name Dictyostelium sp. Its description in RNAcentral is "SSU rRNA". It matches the Rfam family "Eukaryotic small subunit ribosomal RNA", at positions 41 to 836 of the family's 1831-position model. Lineage: Eukaryota; Evosea; Eumycetozoa; Dictyosteliales; Dictyosteliaceae. The record is from RNAcentral.
AGAUUAAGCCAUGCAUGUCUAAGUAUAAAUUCUUGUACGAUGAAACUGCAGACGGCUCAUUACAACAGUGAUAAACUGCUAGACUUUCGGGUUUUUAACCUUUUGGAUAACCGCAGUAAAUCGGGGCUAAUACAUAGAAGCGAUGGGUGACUGGCAACGGAAGCUCAGCGAUUAUUAGCGUUACUACCAAUACCUUCGGGUCUUGUGGUGAAACCGAAUAAUAUUGCAGAUCGAGGAUUUAUCUUCGACAAGUCUACUGUGUCACUGCCCUAUCAACUUUCGAUGGUACGGUAUUGGCCUACCAUGGUUGUAACGGGUAACGGGGAAUUAGGGUUCGAUUCCGGAGAGGGAGCCUGAGAAAUGGCUACCACUUCUACGGAAGGCAGCAGGCGCGCAAAUUACUCAAUCCCAAUACGGGGAAGUAGUGACAAUAAAUAUCAAUACCUAUCCUUUUUGGAGGGCAAUUGAAAUGAACACAAAUUAAAACUCUUAAUUAACACAAUUGGAGGGCAAGUCUGGUGCCAGCAGCCGCGGUAAUUCCAGCUCCAAUAGCAUAUACUAAAGUUGUUGCAGUUAAAAAGCUCGUAGUUGAAGUUAAAGUUAUAUUGGGCUCAAGUUUUUUACCACUCUGGUGGCUAAAACAACUCCAAUAUUUCUUUUUUUAAUAGCUCAGUUUCUAGGUCUUUGACUCUAGUUAUUUGGGCAUUUCACUGUGAGAAAAUUGUGGUGUUUAAAGCAGGCGUCUCGUCUGAUCUUUUGCAGCAUGGUAUGAUGAAACAUGACAUUUUACG